Molecule: ribosomal RNA, 2931 nt
Filed under: Enterobacter hormaechei
Lineage: Bacteria; Pseudomonadati; Pseudomonadota; Gammaproteobacteria; Enterobacterales; Enterobacteriaceae
Description: 23S ribosomal RNA
Rfam family: Bacterial large subunit ribosomal RNA
Source: RNAcentral
GGGUUGUGAGGUUAAGCGACUAAGCGUACACGGUGGAUGCCCUGGCAGUCAGAGGCGAUGAAGGACGUGCUAAUCUGCGAAAAGCGCCGGCGAGGUGAUAUGAACCUUUGACCCGGCGAUGUCCGAAUGGGGAAACCCAGUGCAAUCCGUUGCACUAUCGUUAACUGAAUACAUAGGUUAACGAGGCGAACCGGGGGAACUGAAACAUCUAAGUACCCCGAGGAAAAGAAAUCAACCGAGAUUCCCCCAGUAGCGGCGAGCGAACGGGGAGCAGCCCGGAGUCUGAAUCAGCUUGUGUGUUAGUGGAACGGUCUGGAAAGUCCGACGGUACAGGGUGAUAGUCCCGUACACGAAAGCACACAUGCUGUGAACUCGAAGAGUAGGGCGGGACACGUGGUAUCCUGUCUGAAUAUGGGGGGACCAUCCUCCAAGGCUAAAUACUCCUGACUGACCGAUAGUGAACCAGUACCGUGAGGGAAAGGCGAAAAGAACCCCGGCGAGGGGAGUGAAAAAGAACCUGAAACCGUGUACGUACAAGCAGUGGGAGCCUCUUUAUGGGGUGACUGCGUACCUUUUGUAUAAUGGGUCAGCGACUUAUAUUCUGUAGCAAGGUUAACCGUAUAGGGGAGCCGAAGGGAAACCGAGUCUUAACUGGGCGUUAAGUUGCAGGGUAUAGACCCGAAACCCGGUGAUCUAGCCAUGGGCAGGUUGAAGGUUGGGUAACACUAACUGGAGGACCGAACCGACUAAUGUUGAAAAAUUAGCGGAUGACCUGUGGCUGGGGGUGAAAGGCCAAUCAAACCGGGAGAUAGCUGGUUCUCCCCGAAAGCUAUUUAGGUAGCGCCUCGUGAACUCAUCUUCGGGGGUAGAGCACUGUUUCGGCUAGGGGGCCAUCCCGGCUUACCAACCCGAUGCAAACUACGAAUACCGAAGAAUGUUAUCACGGGAGACACACGGCGGGUGCUAACGUCCGUCGUGAAGAGGGAAACAACCCAGACCGCCAGCUAAGGUCCCAAAGUCAUGGUUAAGUGGGAAACGAUGUGGGAAGGCACAGACAGCCAGGAUGUUGGCUUAGAAGCAGCCAUCAUUUAAAGAAAGCGUAAUAGCUCACUGGUCGAGUCGGCCUGCGCGGAAGAUGUAACGGGGCUAAACCAUGCACCGAAGCUGCGGCAGCGACACUAUGUGUUGUUGGGUAGGGGAGCGUUCUGUAAGCCGUUGAAGGUGUCCUGUGAGGGGUGCUGGAGGUAUCAGAAGUGCGAAUGCUGACAUAAGUAACGAUAAAGCGGGUGAAAAGCCCGCUCGCCGGAAGACCAAGGGUUCCUGUCCAACGUUAAUCGGGGCAGGGUGAGUCGACCCCUAAGGCGAGGCCGAAAGGCGUAGUCGAUGGGAAACAGGUUAAUAUUCCUGUACUUGGUGUUACUGCGAAGGGGGGACGGAGAAGGCUAUGUCAGCCGGGCGACGGUUGUCCCGGUUUAAGCAUGUAGGCGGAGGUUCCAGGUAAAUCCGGUACCUUGUUAACGCUGAGGUGUGAUGACGAGGCACUACGGUGCUGAAGUGAUAAAUGCCCUGCUUCCAGGAAAAGCCUCUAAGCAUCAGGUAACACGAAAUCGUACCCCAAACCGACACAGGUGGUCAGGUAGAGAAUACCAAGGCGCUUGAGAGAACUCGGGUGAAGGAACUAGGCAAAAUGGUGCCGUAACUUCGGGAGAAGGCACGCUGAUGUGUAGGUGAAGCCCCUGCGGGCGGAGCUGAAAUCAGUCGAAGAUACCAGCUGGCUGCAACUGUUUAUUAAAAACACAGCACUGUGCAAACACGAAAGUGGACGUAUACGGUGUGACGCCUGCCCGGUGCCGGAAGGUUAAUUGAUGGGGUUAGCGGCAACGCGAAGCUCUUGAUCGAAGCCCCGGUAAACGGCGGCCGUAACUAUAACGGUCCUAAGGUAGCGAAAUUCCUUGUCGGGUAAGUUCCGACCUGCACGAAUGGCGUAAUGAUGGCCAGGCUGUCUCCACCCGAGACUCAGUGAAAUUGAACUCGCUGUGAAGAUGCAGUGUACCCGCGGCAAGACGGAAAGACCCCGUGAACCUUUACUAUAGCUUGACACUGAACACUGGUCCUUGAUGUGUAGGAUAGGUGGGAGGCUUUGAAGCGUGGACGCCAGUCUGCGUGGAGCCAACCUUGAAAUACCACCCUUUAAUGGCUGGUGUUCUAACGUAGACCCGUAAUCCGGGUUGCGGACAGUGUCUGGUGGGUAGUUUGACUGGGGCGGUCUCCUCCCAAAGAGUAACGGAGGAGCACGAAGGUUGGCUAAUCCUGGUCGGACAUCAGGAGGUUAGUGCAAUGGCAUAAGCCAGCUUGACUGCGAGCGUGACGGCGCGAGCAGGUGCGAAAGCAGGUCAUAGUGAUCCGGUGGUUCUGAAUGGAAGGGCCAUCGCUCAACGGAUAAAAGGUACUCCGGGGAUAACAGGCUGAUACCGCCCAAGAGUUCAUAUCGACGGCGGUGUUUGGCACCUCGAUGUCGGCUCAUCACAUCCUGGGGCUGAAGUAGGUCCCAAGGGUAUGGCUGUUCGCCAUUUAAAGUGGUACGCGAGCUGGGUUUAGAACGUCGUGAGACAGUUCGGUCCCUAUCUGCCGUGGGCGCUGGAGAAUUGAGGGGGGCUGCUCCUAGUACGAGAGGACCGGAGUGGACGCAUCACUGGUGUUCGGGUUGUCAUGCCAAUGGCACUGCCCGGUAGCUAAAUGCGGAAGAGAUAAGUGCUGAAAGCAUCUAAGCACGAAACUUGCCCCGAGAUGAGUUCUCCCUGAGACUUUAAGUCUCCUGAAGGAACGUUGAAGACGACGACGUUGAUAGGUCGGGUGUGUAAGCGCAGCGAUGCGUUGAGCUAACCGAUACUAAUGAACCGUGAGGCUUAACCUUACAACGCCGAAGCUGUU